AGGUUUCCGUAGGUGAACCUGCGGAAGGAUCAUUGUCGAUGCCUCAAUAAAUUCAACUUGUGAAAUUGUUUGGUUACCACUUGAGGGUUGUUUGGGGUGAUGAUGAGUCAUCUCAACUUCUCUUGUGUCAGGAGGUGUCAUCAUGAUUCCCUCUGGCAAACCUCAAACCCCGGCGCAUUGUGCGCCAAGGAAUCUAAAUCUUUAGUGCAUGCCUGUGGAACCGGUCACGGUGAUCCCAUGGGUUUUGUCAUGACAUUAUACACAAAAUGACUCUCGGCAACGGAUAUCUCGGCUCUUGCAUCGAUGAAGAACGUAGCGAAAUGCGAUACUUGGUGUGAAUUGCAGAAUCCCGUGAACCAUCGAGUCUUUGAACGCAAGUUGCGCCUGAAACCAUUAGGUUGAGGGCACGCCUGCCUGGGUGUCACACAUUUGUCACCCAUCCCAAUUCCUUUUCUAGGUGUUGAGAUGGAGUAAGAGUUGGCUUCCCACGAGCAUGGACUUGUGGUUGGUUGAAAAAUGAGUUUGUGGUGGCGGACACCGUGAUAAAUGGUGGUUGAGUGAUGCUCUAUACCGAUCAUGCGUGACUGCAUCAGAUUCAGGCUCUGACCCUGUGCGUUUUUAAGAAUGCUCUUACUGAGACCUCAGGUCA
This 649-nucleotide ribosomal RNA is filed under the name Abrus pulchellus subsp. cantoniensis. Its description in RNAcentral is "eukaryotic LSU rRNA". The stretch from base 269 to 424 matches the Rfam family "5.8S ribosomal RNA". The record is from RNAcentral. Lineage: Eukaryota; Viridiplantae; Streptophyta; Magnoliopsida; Fabales; Fabaceae.